This 253-nucleotide ribosomal RNA is filed under the name uncultured bacterium. RNAcentral describes it as "partial 16S ribosomal RNA". It matches the Rfam family "Bacterial small subunit ribosomal RNA", at positions 524 to 776 of the family's 1533-position model. The record is from RNAcentral.
UACGAAGGGGGCUAGCGUUGCUCGGAAUCACUGGGCGUAAAGGGCGCGUAGGCGGCCGAUCAAGUCAGAGGUGAAAGCCCAAGGCUCAACCUUGGAACUGCCUUUGAUACUGUUUGGCUAGAGACCGGAAGAGGUAAGUGGAACUGCGAGUGUAGAGGUGAAAUUCGUAGAUAUUCGCAAGAACACCAGUGGCGAAGGCGGCUUCCUGGACACUUACUGACGCUGAGACGCGAAAGCGUGGGGAGCAAACAGG